AAUCUCACCUGGCAGGGGAGACACUAUGGUCACGAAUGUAGUUUUCCCAGGAUGAGCCUCACCAAGUGGAUCCUGAUGUGCUGACGCCUGCGAUUUUCCCCAAAUAUGGGAACCGCGCCUGCAUAAUUUGUGGUAGUGGUGCCUGUGUUCGCGCUUUCCCCUG
Small nuclear RNA from Saimiri boliviensis boliviensis (Bolivian squirrel monkey), 163 nucleotides. Its record names the gene U1. It matches the Rfam family "U1 spliceosomal RNA". Rfam says of the family: U1 is a small nuclear RNA (snRNA) component of the spliceosome (involved in pre-mRNA splicing). Its 5' end forms complementary base pairs with the 5' splice junction, thus defining the 5' donor site of an intron. The record is from Ensembl. Lineage: Eukaryota; Metazoa; Chordata; Mammalia; Primates; Cebidae.